This 461-nucleotide long non-coding RNA is filed under the name Chinchilla lanigera (long-tailed chinchilla). Its description in RNAcentral is "lncRNA (ENSCLAG00000025439.1)". The record is from RNAcentral. Lineage: Eukaryota; Metazoa; Chordata; Mammalia; Rodentia; Chinchillidae.
AGUCGUACCUCAGUUUGCGACUUAAUUUGUUUUACGAUUUAGGGAAAGAUGGCUCAGUUUAUGUUUGUCUCGGGAAGAUGGCCAUGGUCAUUUUUGUCAAGUAAUGCAGAGUUUAUGAACAGAAGCAAAAUUUUGCUGCACGAUUUUCUUUGCAAACCCAUCUGUUUGCAAACAGAAGCAUUUGUGAACCAGAACAUUAUGGUACAGGGGUGCGGGGAGGCGGUGAUGAGAGAAACAGUGACAUCUGGAGUGUAUUGCUUAACUUUACUCUGCUCCACAUCCUUAUUUUGGUUGCAUAUCACCUCUAAAAAUCAUUGCUGCAGAGUUUUGGAAAUGGAAGUAUGCUUUUCAGGCCUUCUACGGCAAUCUCAGGAUAUUGCACUUUGACUUUAAUCCAUACUUAUGGAGAUUUGCAUUUACCUCAAAUACACUUUUAAGGCUAAUGUCUUUUGCAAUCUGAA